UUAACCUCUGCCCUCAUCGACCCCCCGUCUGGCAAUCCCGAGGGAGAACCAGUCUCUGAAAACACCCCACCUCCAAACGUGCCGCUCAAGUGGCAUUCUCCAGAACCACGCAGCCCUGUGAAGGGCUCGUGCCGAGGGGCUCCCCCACGCUCCAGGCGUCUACAGGGCGCUACUGAACUUGGUCGACCUAAGCGGUCCGGGCGAGAACACACGAAAAGAUCACGGGGAUUCCCGCCAGCGGAGGUCUCUGGGCCGGGCUCUCCAGAACCGCUGGUCCCAGCCCACCCCCCUCCUCCCCACCGCCUCCGGCCGCAGAUUUCGGCCGGGGCCUGUCUCGAGUGGGAAACCACCCGCAACGGAGCAGAAACAGGUCCCCCAGGGGCUCUGGAGGGAAACGAGGGCGCUCCGGGGUCCACGCGUCCGGCAGAGGGCCGGCCAAGGAGGCGGGCUGGGGCGGGGCCAGCAAAGUCCACCCGGGCUACUGGCUGGUUUCGCCUGCGGUCGCCGGGAGGGACCCAGGGGCUACGGGGCGCUGGCCACGGCAGGUGUGGGGUCCCACUGCCCCCAGCUCCCGCGCACACUCGCGCCCCCCGCCCGUCCCCACGCCUGCACGGGACUGCGAGCACGUGCCCUCAGCCCGGAAGGCGUCCCAACCGCUCCGCGCAGGUGCGCGCGCCAGGGCCGGGCACGUCCGGCCCAGGGGGCACCUGGCCGGGCGAGGGAAGACCAGCCGGGGACGGAGCGUGCGCAGUGGCGAGGGCGAGGCCAAGUGCGGGCAAGGAGCAUGCGCAGUGUGAAGGCACAAUCGGCUACGUGGGAGCCUGGGGCAUGCUCGGUGAGAGCCCGGACCCGGCGCACGCGCAGAAGCGCUCGGAACCCGCAACCCGCUGGUGGAGAGAAAAAAGAGGAGAGAAAUCACCUCAGAGUUACGUCAGGAAAGGCCGCGUUUUGCGAGGAGGCUGUGGCCUCCCGCGGGGCCCCGCAGUUCUUCUAGGGCGAGGGGCGUGA
RNAcentral lists this long non-coding RNA (1008 nucleotides) under Felis catus (domestic cat). Its description in RNAcentral is "lncRNA (ENSFCAG00000052480.1)". The record is from RNAcentral. Lineage: Eukaryota; Metazoa; Chordata; Mammalia; Carnivora; Felidae.